This 463-nucleotide ribosomal RNA is filed under the name uncultured Anaerolineaceae bacterium. RNAcentral describes it as "bacterial SSU rRNA". It matches the Rfam family "Bacterial small subunit ribosomal RNA", at positions 902 to 1382 of the family's 1533-position model. The record is from RNAcentral. Lineage: Bacteria; Bacillati; Chloroflexota; Anaerolineae; Anaerolineales; Anaerolineaceae.
CAAAGGAAUUGACGGGUCCCGCACAAGCAGCGGAGCGUGUGGUUUAAUUCGUUGCUACACGAAGAACCUUACCUGGGUUUGACAUAGCAGUGGUAGGAAGCGAAGCGACGACCCUUCGGGGAGCUGUUACAGGUGUUGCAUGGCUGUCGUCAGCUCGUGUCGUGAGAUGUUCGGUUAAGUCCGCUAACGAGCGCAACCCGCGUUGUGUGUUACAAGUGUCACACAAUACCGCCGGUAUUAAGUCGGAGGAAGGUGCGGAUGACGUCAAGUCAGCAUGACCUUUAUAUCCAGGGCUACACACACGCUACAAUGGUCGGCACAAUAGGUUGCCAAGUCGUGAGACGGAGCCAAUCCUCCAAAGUCGGCCUCAGUUCAGAUUGCAGGCUGCGACUCGCCUGCAUGAAGUUGGAGUUGCUAGUAAACGCAGGUCAGCUAUACUGCGUUGAAUACGUUCCCGGGGAUU